CAGCGAAUGCCUUUGGCUACGGAUCUUUUCUCUGUCGAUCUUCAAUUGAUCGUCAGCUUGCUGACGAGCGGUUGAUAGGUUUGCAAUAGGAUGGAAUCCGAUAAAUUCGCUAAGGAUGUUGACGUAAUGGCUUUAAACGA
Molecule: ribosomal RNA, 140 nt
Filed under: Archaeosporaceae sp.
Lineage: Eukaryota; Fungi; Glomeromycota; Glomeromycetes; Archaeosporales; Archaeosporaceae
Description: partial large subunit ribosomal RNA
Source: RNAcentral